UACUAAUGUAUAACACAUUAGUGAUGAGUCUCCCUAGGCCAGUUAUUAGUGGCACGUUAUGUUACAACUUGUCACUUAUGACCUGACAUUAGUGAUAGAUCUAUCUGGGCCAAUCAUAAGUGACGUGUGAUGUUACGACCCGUCAUCGAUAAUAAGUCAUAAGUGAUGUGUACUAUAAUGACCUGUCACUGAUGACUCGACUCUGUUAUUAGAGCUGGCCAACUAUAGCACGCCCAGCAGUUACAGAGCGCGAUCUUAGCGCCAACUUCUGGCGAUUUUCUUUGGUUUCACUAGAGACUCUCUAAUAUCUUGUUGAUUUAAAGUUUGAAUUAUUGCUAGGUCUUUGAAGGUUCGUAUCUCCCCCUUUCCUCCUCCUCUAGCCAGGAAGAAAGGCUCUAAGAAGCACUUACGAAGAAGUCGAGGGCUAUUGUACUGGUGUAGAAGUCCACAAACAUUGGAGAAGCAUGGACUAAUGCUCACAUGAAAUUCUAAUAUGGGAAGACUUUGAUGAAGGUAGGUGACCUAACAAGGGUGGGACAAGUAUGUGUGGACCUAUAUAAUCACUAUAUAUAGGCUUGUAGAGACACCCAUACUCAAUUCAUAGUCGUACAAUACAAACUAUGUCACUUCUUAACUGACGAUGACUACUUCUUUACGGGUUUCAAUGACUUAUAUGACCUCUUCAACCUUGAUGCCAUGAACGUAUCGUUAUUACUGAUCUUCAUAUUGUAAGUUCCUUAAAACUGGACAUUUAUUAAUUAAUACCACUAAAUCUUGUUAUUUUCUUAUGUGGAGACACUUGAUAAAAGAAACGAAGGAGUCCAUCGGAUCUUGACACUGAUGCCAUUUUAGUCUCGGUCAUCAAAUUGCAUGGCGACUACGCUGUGGACUAUGUGGCUAGGAUAACGCAACACUAUUCCAAAAUUGACUACCUGUUGGGUCUCCACAACAUUAGUGUUUAUUGGAUUAUUUGCCUCAAGUGAAACUUGGUGUGAUAUCUCGACUUAUCAAGACCAGUAGGACCAAAAGACAAACCUGGAGAGCGUGAUUACAACGCUGUAAAAUGACUCUUUAUGUGGCUUUUCACAAUUACCUUCGAGCUGAUCUUAACUACAACGUGAAAGAUGGCCGCAGACUGACAUACAAGACCAGUGCUACCAACAACCACCUAGCAACGUCUGCAGAUUCUAUGUUACAUACAACAUGCUCCUAUUUAUGAUCCGAGCAAAGGAUAUUCAUGACAUGGUUAUUCAUAACUAAUUUCAGUGAAUAGUUUAAUUUCAUGAUAACAUGACAUUAGUUACGUGUCAAAUUAUGUAGGAUUAUGAGGCUUGUUUUUUCAACGACGGUGCACUCCCAGGGAUUCGAUAACGGAUCGUCAAGUUCAUAAUAUUUGAAGUCACCAACCCACACAGUGAGUUUCACUAUAAAAACACUAGGUCAUGAGAUCUUAUGUAAUAUGAAGUGAUUAUAACUUUAUAACUUGUGAUUUCGUGAUAAAUUGAUUGAAACUUUGCAA
Phragmites australis (common reed) is the source of this 1519-nucleotide long non-coding RNA. RefSeq lists it as uncharacterized. NCBI's taxonomy places the organism in Eukaryota, Viridiplantae, Streptophyta, Magnoliopsida, Poales, Poaceae. The transcript is spliced from 3 exons. The record is from RefSeq and is a predicted model, not a curated record.